Molecule: long non-coding RNA, 643 nt
Organism: Frankliniella occidentalis (western flower thrips)
Lineage: Eukaryota; Metazoa; Arthropoda; Insecta; Thysanoptera; Thripidae
Exons: 3
Source: RefSeq, a predicted model, not a curated record
UUUUUCUUGGAAGUAUCGGAGGAUAUUAUAUUUGGUCACCAGAGUUUGCUAGAUUAUCUAAGAAAAUCGCAUCCAAAGAGGAACUAGAGGCCGAACGAAGCAAAACAUUGGCUGAAUUUGGAGAUCAGAGUGGUCCUGUGAAGACGUGAGCAUCUGGAGUCUGAUGAAGGUCUCUCUUGGGCCCAAUUCGCGCCUAUUUUUGGCCACUGCCAUUGGUUCAUUUUGUGGAUGGUUUAUUGUUGAGCCAAUCAUUUGGAGCUACAAAAAAACUUUUGAUAAGAAGAAAGAUCUUCCUCCCCCAAAGUUUCAAUGAAGUCAACAGCCAGCAUGUCCAAAGGGGAGGCUCCAGUCAAGCCAAACUGGCGAAUGUUUGUAGCGGAGUGGAAGCAGCCUACCACUAAUGGAACUUAUCUCCUAAAAUAUGGUACCAUAGCAGUGGGGAUUGGAGUUUUUGUUUCAGUAAUUGUUCGUCCUACUUGGCGUGAAUACAAAUAUCGCCGCGAUGAAGCGUUUGCCAACAUGUUAUUUGAAUUAGACAGGAAAAGUAAAGAAUGAGGUAUCUUAAAUUUGUCGGAAUGUGAUUUGUUGCAGUGGGUACAGAAAGUUAUAGUUCAUCAGGUUUAUAAUAAAACAAUAUUGCUAA